RNAcentral lists this ribosomal RNA (260 nucleotides) under uncultured Planctomycetota bacterium. RNAcentral describes it as "uncultured planctomycete partial 16S ribosomal RNA". It matches the Rfam family "Bacterial small subunit ribosomal RNA", at positions 927 to 1181 of the family's 1533-position model. The record is from RNAcentral. Lineage: Bacteria; Pseudomonadati; Planctomycetota.
AAGCGGUGGAGGAUGUGGCUUAAUUCGAGGCUACGCGAAGAACCUUAUCCUAGUCUUGACAUGCACGGAUUAACCCCAGGAAACUGGGGCCACGCCUUCGGGUGGAACGUGCACAGGUGCUGCAUGGCUGUCGUCAGCUCGUGCUGUGAAGUGUCGGGUUAAGUCCCUUAACGAGCGAAACCCUUGUCGCUAGUUGCCAGCGGGUAAAGCCGGGGACUCUAGCGAGACCGCCGGUGUUAAACCGGAGGAAGGUGGGGAUG